AGAGUUUGAUCAUGGCUCAGGAUUAACGCUGGCGGUAUGCCUAACACAUGCAAGUCGAACGGAAUACUAAUUAAGAGAGUCUCACACUAGUGAGAGGUUCUCACGAGUAGUAUUUAGUGGCGGACGGGUGAGUAACACGUUGGAACCUGCCCCGAAGUGGGGAAUAACUGCUCGAAAGAGUAGCUAAUACCCCAUAGUAUCCGGUUUAUCCGGAUUAAAGAUUUAUCGCUUCGGGAGGGGCCUGCGUCUGAUUAGCUAGUUGGUGAGGUAAAAGCUCACCAAGGCGACGAUCAGUAGCUGGUUCGAGAGGAUGACCAGCCACACUGGGACUGAGAUACGGCCCAGACUCCUACGGGAGGCAGCAGUGAGGAAUCUUCCACAAUGGGCGCAAGCCUGAUGGAGCAAUACCGCGUGCAGGAAGACGCUUUCGGAGUGUAAACUGCUUUGUCGUCGAAGAUUAUGACUGUAGACGAAGAAUAAGGACCGGCUAACUACGUG
This 498-nucleotide ribosomal RNA is filed under the name uncultured bacterium. RNAcentral's name for it is "bacterial SSU rRNA". It matches the Rfam family "Bacterial small subunit ribosomal RNA", at positions 8 to 507 of the family's 1533-position model. The record is from RNAcentral.